GUUGACCUCGGAUCAGGUAGGAAUACCCGCUGAACUUAAGCAUAUCAAUAAGCGGAGGAAAAGAAACCAACAGGGAUUCCCCUAGUAACGGCGAGCGAAAAUCGUCGACCUGCAGGCAUGCAAGCUUGGCACUGGCCGUCGUUUUACAACGUCGUGACUGGGAAAACCCUGGCGUUACCCA
This 181-nucleotide ribosomal RNA is filed under the name uncultured fungus. Its description in RNAcentral is "28S ribosomal RNA". It matches the Rfam family "Eukaryotic large subunit ribosomal RNA", at positions 1 to 188 of the family's 3401-position model. Lineage: Eukaryota; Fungi. The record is from RNAcentral.